RNAcentral lists this ribosomal RNA (459 nucleotides) under uncultured bacterium. RNAcentral's name for it is "partial 16S ribosomal RNA". It matches the Rfam family "Bacterial small subunit ribosomal RNA", at positions 338 to 795 of the family's 1533-position model. The record is from RNAcentral.
CCUACGGGCGGCAGCAGUGAGGAAUAUUGGUCAAUGGUCGGGAGACUGAACCAGCCAAGCCGCGUGAGGGAUGAAGGUACAGAGUAGCGUAAACAUCUUUUGUCAGGGAACAAAGGCGGGGACGCGUCCCCGGAAGAGAGUAACUGAAGAAAAAGCAUCGGCUAACUCCGUGCCAGCAGCCGAGGUAAUACGGAGGAUGCGAGCGUUAUCCGGUUUUAUGGGGUGUAAAGGGUGCGCAGGCGGUCUGUUAAGUCAGCGGUCAAAGCCCGGGGCUCAACCCCGGCCCGCCGUUGAAACUGGCAGUCUCGAGUUGGAGAGAAGUAUGCGGAAUGCGCGGUGUAGCGGUGAAAUGCAUAGAUAUCGCGCAGAACUCCGAUUGCGAAGGCAGCAUGCCGGCUCCACACUGACGCUGAGGCACGAAAGCGUGGGUAUCGAACAGGAUUGGAUACCCCUGUAGUC